AACGAACGCUGGCGGCAGGCCUAACACAUGCAAGUCGAGCGCGCCCUUCGGGGUGAGCGGCGGACGGGUGAGUAACGCGUGGGAACGUGCCCUUUUCUACGGAAUAGCCUCGGGAAACUGAGAGUAAUACCGUAUACGCUCUUCGGGGGAAAGAUUUAUCGGAAAAGGAUCGGCCCGCGUUGGAUUAGGUAGUUGGUGGGGUAAUGGCCUACCAAGCCGACGAUCCAUAGCUGGUCUGAGAGGAUGAUCAGCCACACUGGGACUGAGACACGGCCCAGACUCCUACGGGAGGCAGCAGUGGGGAAUCUUAGACAAUGGGGGCAACCCUGAUCUAGCCAUGCCGCGUGAGUGAUGAAGGCCUUAGGGUUGUAAAGCUCUUUCAGCUGGGAAGAUAAUGACGGUACCAGCAGAAGAAGCCCCGGCUAACUCCGUG
RNAcentral lists this ribosomal RNA (433 nucleotides) under uncultured bacterium. RNAcentral's name for it is "partial 16S ribosomal RNA". It matches the Rfam family "Bacterial small subunit ribosomal RNA", at positions 29 to 507 of the family's 1533-position model. The record is from RNAcentral.